ACGUAGGGUGCAAGCGUUAAUCGGAAUUACUGGGCGUAAAGCGUGCGCAGGCGGCUAUGCAUGACAGAUGUGAAAUCCCCGGGCUCAACCUGGGAACUGCAUUUGUGACUGCAUGGCUAGAGUGCGGCAGAGGGGGAUGGAAUUCCGCGUGUAGCAGUGAAAUGCGUAGAUAUGCGGAGGAACACCGAUGGCGAAGGCAAUCCCCUGGGCCUGCACUGACGCUCAUGUACGAAAGCGUGGGGAGCAAACAGGAUUAGAUACCCUGGUAGUCCACGCCCUAAACGAUGUCUAUUAGUUGUCGGAGGGUAACUCCUUCGGUAACGCAGCUAACGCGUGAAGUAGACCGCCUGGGGAGUACGGUCGCAAGAUUA
Molecule: ribosomal RNA, 371 nt
Filed under: uncultured bacterium
Lineage: Bacteria
Description: bacterial SSU rRNA
Rfam family: Bacterial small subunit ribosomal RNA
Source: RNAcentral